RNAcentral lists this transfer RNA (78 nucleotides) under Cronobacter phage vB_CsaM_GAP32. RNAcentral describes it as "tRNA-Pro". It matches the Rfam family "tRNA". From Rfam's summary of the family: Transfer RNA (tRNA) molecules are approximately 80 nucleotides in length. The record is from RNAcentral. Lineage: Duplodnaviria; Heunggongvirae; Uroviricota; Caudoviricetes.
CGGAGUGUGGGCUAAUUGGUUAGCCGCCUAGUUUGGGACUAGGAGUUUAUGCAGGUUCGAGUCCUGUCUCUCCGACAA